This 662-nucleotide ribosomal RNA is filed under the name Pseudomonas protegens. RNAcentral's name for it is "bacterial SSU rRNA". It matches the Rfam family "Bacterial small subunit ribosomal RNA", at positions 74 to 731 of the family's 1533-position model. The record is from RNAcentral. Lineage: Bacteria; Pseudomonadati; Pseudomonadota; Gammaproteobacteria; Pseudomonadales; Pseudomonadaceae.
GGGUACUUGUACCUGGUGGCGAGCGGCGGACGGGUGAGUAAUGCCUAGGAAUCUGCCUAGUAGUGGGGGAUAACGUCCGGAAACGGGCGCUAAUACCGCAUACGUCCUACGGGAGAAAGUGGGGGAUCUUCGGACCUCACGCUAUUAGAUGAGCCUAGGUCGGAUUAGCUAGUUGGUGAGGUAAUGGCUCACCAAGGCUACGAUCCGUAACUGGUCUGAGAGGAUGAUCAGUCACACUGGAACUGAGACACGGUCCAGACUCCUACGGGAGGCAGCAGUGGGGAAUAUUGGACAAUGGGCGAAAGCCUGAUCCAGCCAUGCCGCGUGUGUGAAGAAGGUCUUCGGAUUGUAAAGCACUUUAAGUUGGGAGGAAGGGCAGUUACCUAAUACGUGAUUGUUUUGACGUUACCGACAGAAUAAGCACCGGCUAACUCUGUGCCAGCAGCCGCGGUAAUACAGAGGGUGCAAGCGUUAAUCGGAAUUACUGGGCGUAAAGCGCGCGUAGGUGGUUUGUUAAGUUGAAUGUGAAAGCCCCGGGCUCAACCUGGGAACUGCAUCCAAAACUGGCAAGCUAGAGUAUGGUAGAGGGUGGUGGAAUUUCCUGUGUAGCGGUGAAAUGCGUAGAUAUAGGAAGGAACACCAGUGGCGAAGGCGACCACCUG